AUACGUAGGGGGCGAGCGUUGUCCGGAAUGAUUGGGCGUAAAGGGCGCGUAGGCGGCCUGUUAAGUCUGGAGUGAAAGUCCUGUUUUCAAGAUGGGAAUUGCUUUGGAUACUGAUGGGCUUGAGUGCUGGAGAGGUUAUCGGAAUUCCCGGUGUAGCGGUGAAAUGCGUAGAGAUCGGGAGGAACACCAGUGGCGAAGGCGGGUAACUGGACUGCAACUGACGCUGAGGCGCGAAAGUGUGGGGAGCAAACAGGAUUAGAUACCCUGGUAGUCCACACUGUAAACGAUGAAUGCUAGGUGUAAGAGGUAUCGACCCCUUUUGUGCCGGAGUUAACACAAUAAGCAUUCCGCCUGGGGAGUACGGCCGCAAGGUUGAAACUCAAAUGAAUUGACGGGG
Molecule: ribosomal RNA, 397 nt
Filed under: uncultured bacterium
Lineage: Bacteria
Description: partial 16S ribosomal RNA
Rfam family: Bacterial small subunit ribosomal RNA
Source: RNAcentral